GUUCCGAGCCCUUAAGCGCGGGCGCGGGUCAGUGGUGGGAGUCCCUGCUCUUCCACGUAUCGGAUUCCACGUGGGAGGACUCUGUCCUUCCAGAAAGGAGGAAAUGACCAAGUUCCAGAUUUGUUGGAUUUAUUGUGAGAUAUUUCUCUGCAUACUUGAUGUGAGCAUCAUUAAGGUUAUGGUCAUUUGCUAUCACAAGCCAUCUGCAGUGAGUAAAUCUUGCGCAGGUAUCAUUUCACAAGUUUGCCUGGAAAUCUGAAGAAUAAAACCCCCAAGCUGGAAUGCUGAGUGCAUACAUUUAUGAUUUUGAUAGAUAAUUGUCAAAAUUGUCCUUCUUUGGGGUGAUACAAAUUUACACUAACAAGCAUUGUGUCUUCAGGUUUUGGGUAACAGGUGGAAAAUGGUAUCUCAGUAUAGUUAGAGUUUAUUAUAAUAUACUGCUGUUUUUUAGUUUAUCAAUAUUUUGUAUUCUGUAUUGACUUUCUUACAUCACACAUGAGGAUUUAGCUCCUUUACAUUAUUUCCCCAACAUGCCCAUCCUCCCAAGAUUUUUUUUUUUUCAAUAUUUUAUUUAUUUGUCAGAGAGAGAGAGAGCACAGGCAGGCAGCACCCUCCCAAGAUUUUAUGUCAGGGUCACAUCAGUGAUUAAUGCUUACAUUGCUUUGACCUCAUAACUCUUGUUCCUUGCAGGGUCAAGUACUGCACUAUUGAUUAUAGUUCCUUUUUUAUUUUUUUCUUUCCUAAAGCUAAUGUUUGCUUUUUAA
Molecule: long non-coding RNA, 764 nt
Organism: Neogale vison (American mink)
Lineage: Eukaryota; Metazoa; Chordata; Mammalia; Carnivora; Mustelidae
Exons: 4
Source: RefSeq, a predicted model, not a curated record